This 1554-nucleotide ribosomal RNA is filed under the name Escherichia coli O104:H4 str. 2009EL-2050. Its description in RNAcentral is "bacterial SSU rRNA". It matches the Rfam family "Bacterial small subunit ribosomal RNA". Lineage: Bacteria; Pseudomonadati; Pseudomonadota; Gammaproteobacteria; Enterobacterales; Enterobacteriaceae. The record is from RNAcentral.
AAAUUGAAGAGUUUGAUCAUGGCUCAGAUUGAACGCUGGCGGCAGGCCUAACACAUGCAAGUCGAACGGUAACAGGAAACAGCUUGCUGUUUCGCUGACGAGUGGCGGACGGGUGAGUAAUGUCUGGGAAACUGCCUGAUGGAGGGGGAUAACUACUGGAAACGGUAGCUAAUACCGCAUAACGUCGCAAGACCAAAGAGGGGGACCUUCGGGCCUCUUGCCAUCGGAUGUGCCCAGAUGGGAUUAGCUUGUUGGUGGGGUAACGGCUCACCAAGGCGACGAUCCCUAGCUGGUCUGAGAGGAUGACCAGCCACACUGGAACUGAGACACGGUCCAGACUCCUACGGGAGGCAGCAGUGGGGAAUAUUGCACAAUGGGCGCAAGCCUGAUGCAGCCAUGCCGCGUGUAUGAAGAAGGCCUUCGGGUUGUAAAGUACUUUCAGCGGGGAGGAAGGGAGUAAAGUUAAUACCUUUGCUCAUUGACGUUACCCGCAGAAGAAGCACCGGCUAACUCCGUGCCAGCAGCCGCGGUAAUACGGAGGGUGCAAGCGUUAAUCGGAAUUACUGGGCGUAAAGCGCACGCAGGCGGUUUGUUAAGUCAGAUGUGAAAUCCCCGGGCUCAACCUGGGAACUGCAUCUGAUACUGGCAAGCUUGAGUCUCGUAGAGGGGGGUAGAAUUCCAGGUGUAGCGGUGAAAUGCGUAGAGAUCUGGAGGAAUACCGGUGGCGAAGGCGGCCCCCUGGACGAAGACUGACGCUCAGGUGCGAAAGCGUGGGGAGCAAACAGGAUUAGAUACCCUGGUAGUCCACGCCGUAAACGAUGUCGACUUGGAGGUUGUGCCCUUGAGGCGUGGCUUCCGGAGCUAACGCGUUAAGUCGACCGCCUGGGGAGUACGGCCGCAAGGUUAAAACUCAAAUGAAUUGACGGGGGCCCGCACAAGCGGUGGAGCAUGUGGUUUAAUUCGAUGCAACGCGAAGAACCUUACCUGGUCUUGACAUCCACAGAACUUUCCAGAGAUGGAUUGGUGCCUUCGGGAGCUGUGAGACAGGUGCUGCAUGGCUGUCGUCAGCUCGUGUUGUGAAAUGUUGGGUUAAGUCCCGCAACGAGCGCAACCCUUAUCCUUUGUUGCCAGCGGUCCGGCCGGGAACUCAAAGGAGACUGCCAGUGAUAAACUGGAGGAAGGUGGGGAUGACGUCAAGUCAUCAUGGCCCUUACGACCAGGGCUACACACGUGCUACAAUGGCGUAUACAAAGAGAAGCGACCUCGCGAGAGCAAGCGGACCUCAUAAAGUGCGUCGUAGUCCGGAUUGGAGUCUGCAACUCGACUCCAUGAAGUCGGAAUCGCUAGUAAUCGUGGAUCAGAAUGCCACGGUGAAUACGUUCCCGGGCCUUGUACACACCGCCCGUCACACCAUGGGAGUGGGUUGCAAAAGAAGUAGGUAGCUUAACCUUCGGGAGGGCGCUUACCACUUUGUGAUUCAUGACUGGGGUGAAGUCGUAACAAGGUAACCGUAGGGGAACCUGCGGUUGGAUCACCUCCUUACCUUAAAGAAGC